AUUGAACGCUGGCGGAAUGCUUUACACAUGCAAGUCGAACGGCAGCACGGGGGCAGCCCUGGUGGCGCGUGGCGAACGGGUGAGUAAUACAUCGGAACGUGCCCGGUCGUGGGGGAUAACGUCGCGAAAGUUACGCUAAUACCGCAUACGAUCUGAGGAUGAAAGCGGGGGACCUUCGGGCCUCGCGCGAUCGGAGCGGCCGAUGUCAGAUUAGGUAGUUGGUGGGGUAAUGGCCUACCAAGCCGACGAUCUGUAGCUGGUCUGAGAGGACGACCAGCCACACGGGGACGGAGACACGGCCCAGACUCCUACGGGAGGCAGCAGUGGGGAACUUUGGACAAUGGGCGCAAGCCUGAUCCAGCCAUUCCGCGUGCAGGACGAAGGCGUUCGGGUUGUAAACUGCUUUUGUACGGAGCGAAAAGGCUCUGGCUAAUACCUGAGGCUCAUGACGGUACCGGAAGAAUAAGCACCGGCUAACUACGUG
This 484-nucleotide ribosomal RNA is filed under the name uncultured bacterium. RNAcentral describes it as "partial 16S ribosomal RNA". It matches the Rfam family "Bacterial small subunit ribosomal RNA", at positions 29 to 507 of the family's 1533-position model. The record is from RNAcentral.